RNAcentral lists this ribosomal RNA (1483 nucleotides) under uncultured Bordetella sp. RNAcentral describes it as "partial 16S-23S ribosomal RNA intergenic spacer". It matches the Rfam family "Bacterial small subunit ribosomal RNA". Lineage: Bacteria; Pseudomonadati; Pseudomonadota; Betaproteobacteria; Burkholderiales; Alcaligenaceae. The record is from RNAcentral.
CAGGAGAGUUCGAUCCUGGCUCAGAUUGAACGCUGGCGGGAUGCUUUACAUGCAAGUCGAACGGCGGCACGGACUUCCGGUCUGGUGGCGGAAGUGGCAGACGGGUGAGUAAUGUAUCCGGAACGUGCCUAGUAGCGGGGAUAACUACGCGAAAGCGUAGCUAUUGCAUACGCCCUUCGGGGGAAAGCAGGGGACCUUCGGGCCUCGCACUAUGAAACGGCCGAUAUCGGAUUAGCUGGUUGAUGAGGUAACGGCUCGCAAGGCGACGAUCCAUGGCUGGUUUGAAGGACGACCAGCCGCACUGGGACUGAGACACGGUCCAGACUCCUACGGGAAGAGCAGCAGUGGGGAAUUUUGGACGGUAAACCCUGAUCGCUCAUCCCGCGUGGCGCGACUUCUGAAGGCCUUCGGGUUGUAAACGCACAGCAGGAAAGAAGCGGCGCAGGAUAUCGCUCACCCGUGCAACUGACGAGGUACCUGCAGAAUAAGCACCGGCGGCUAACUACGUGCCCGGCGCGGGUAAUACGUAAGUUGCAAGCGUUAAUCAGGUGCACCUAUCGACAACUAAAGGCGUGCCUCGGGCGGUUCGGAAAAAGAUGUGAAAUCCCACAGAGCCAACUUUGGGUUUGCAUUUUUAACUACCGAGCUAGAGUGUGUCAGAGGUGGAAUUUCCGCGUGUAGCAGUGAAAUGCGUAGAUAUGCGGAGGAACACCGAUGGCGAAAAACUUAGCCUCCUGGGAUAACAUGGCGCUCAUGCACUACAAGCGUGGGAGCAAACAGGAUUAGAUGCCCUGGUGAUCCACGCCUAAAGCGAUGUCAACUAGCUGUUUACAGGGCCUUCGGGCCUUGGUAGCGCAGCUAACGCAUGAAGUUGACCGCCUGGGGAAGUACAGUCGCAAGACCAAAACUCGAGGAAUUGACGGGGACUACCUGAAAGCGGUGGAUGAUGUGGAUUAAUUCGAUGCAACGAAAACCUUACCUACCUCGACAUGUCUGGAAUCCCGAAGAGAUUUACGGGAGUGCUCGCAAGAGAACCGGAACACAGGUGCUGCAUGGCUGUCGUCAGCUCGUGUCGUGAGAUGUUGGGUUAAGUCCCGCAAACGCAACCCUUGAUAGGUGAUUUGCUCCACGAAGGCACUCCUAAUGAGACUGCCGGUGACAAACCGGAGGAAGGUGGGGAUGACGUCCGUCCUCAUGGCCCCUUGUGGGUAGGGCUUCACGUCAUACAAUGGUCAGGACAGAGGGUCGCCAACCCGCGAGGAACAAUCCCGGCCCGAUCGUAGUCCGGAUCGCGGUCUGCAACUCGACUGCGUGAUCGGAAUCGCUAGUAAUCGCGGAUCAGCAUGUCGCAGUGAAUACGUUCCGCGGGUCUUGUACACACCGCCCGUCUACAUGGGAGUGGGUUUUUCCCGGUGAUUAGCCUAGCCGUAAAGGAGGGCGGUGCGGUAGGAUUCAUGACUGGGGUGAAGUCGUAACAAGGCGG